GGAUAACCCGCGGAAACGCGGCCUAAUACCCCGUGACGCCACCGGAGGGCAUCCUCCGGUGGCCAAAGGAGCGAUCCGGUGGCGGAUGGGCAUGCGGCGCAUUAGCUAGACGGCGGGGUGACGGCCCACCGUGGCGACGAUGCGUAGGGGUUCUGAGAGGAAGGCCCCCCACACUGGGACUGAGACACGGCCCAGACUCCUACGGGAGGCAGCAGUGAGGAAUAUUGGUCAAUGGGCGGAAGCCUGAACCAGCCAAGUCGCGUGAGGGAUUAAGGCCCUGCGGGUCGUAAACCUCUUUUGCCGGGGAGCAGUGGUCCGGACGCGUCCGGGCCGGGAAAGUACCCGGAGAAAAAGCAUCGGCUAACUCCGUGCCAGCAGCCGCGGUAAUACGGAGGAUGCGAGCGUUAUCCGGAUUUAUUGGGUUUAAAGGGUGCGUAGGCGGGCAUUUAAGCCGGCGGUCAAAUGUCGGGGCUCAACCCCGGCCUGCCGUCGGAACUGGGUGCCUUGAGUGGGCGAGAAGUAUGCGGAAUGCGUGGUGUAGCGGUGAAAUGCAUAGAUAUCACGCAGAACCCCGAUUGCGAAGGCAGCAUACCGGCGCCCUACUGACGCUGAGGCACGAAAGUGCGGGUAUCGAACAGGAUUAGAUACCCUGGUAGUCCGCACAGUAAACGAU
RNAcentral lists this ribosomal RNA (673 nucleotides) under uncultured bacterium. Its description in RNAcentral is "bacterial SSU rRNA". It matches the Rfam family "Bacterial small subunit ribosomal RNA", at positions 141 to 810 of the family's 1533-position model. The record is from RNAcentral.